AUCCGUGUGGCUCAAUUGGCAGAGAAACUGACUCUUAAUCAGAAGGUUGCGGGUUCAAGUCCCGCCACGGGUA
Molecule: transfer RNA, 73 nt
Filed under: Oribacterium sp.
Lineage: Bacteria; Bacillati; Bacillota; Clostridia; Lachnospirales; Lachnospiraceae
Description: tRNA-Lys
Rfam family: tRNA
About the family: Transfer RNA (tRNA) molecules are approximately 80 nucleotides in length.
Source: RNAcentral